Molecule: ribosomal RNA, 253 nt
Filed under: uncultured bacterium
Lineage: Bacteria
Description: partial 16S ribosomal RNA
Rfam family: Bacterial small subunit ribosomal RNA
Source: RNAcentral
UACAGAGGGUGCGAGCGUUAAUCGGAAUUACUGGGCGUAAAGCGUGUGUAGGUGGUUGGAUAAGUUAGAUGUGAAAACCCUGGGCUUAACCUGGGACUUGCGUUUAAGACUGUUUGACUAGAGUACUGUAGAGGGUAGUGGAAUUUCCAGUGUAGCGGUGAAAUGCGUAGAUAUUGGAAGGAACACCAGUGGCGAAGGCGACUAUCUGGACAGAUACUGACACUGAGACACGAAAGCAUGGGUAGCAAACAGG